AUUCCUUGUCGGGUAAGUUCCGACCCGCACGAAAGGCGUAACGAUUUGGGCACUGUCUCAACAACAGACUCGGUGAAAUUGUAAUUCCGGUGAAGAUGCCGGAUACCUGCGACAGGACGGAAAGACCCCAUGGAGCUUUACUGUAGCUUGACAUUGGGUCUUGGUACUACAUGUACAGGAUAGGUGGGAGGCUUUGAAACCAGGACGCCAGUUUUGGCGGAGCCAUCCUUGGGAUACCACCCUUGUAGUACUGGGACUCUAACCAUAGGCCAUGAAUCUGGUCUUGGGACACUGUCAGGUGGGCAGUUUGACUGGGGCGGUCGCCUCCCAAAAGGUAACGGAGGCGCUCAAAGGUUCUCUCAGUACGGUCGGAAAUCGUACGUAGAGUGUAAAGGCAAAAGAGAGCUUGAUUGCAAGACAUACAGGUCGAGCAAGGAUGAAAAUCGGACUUAGUGAUCCGGUGGUUCUGCGUGGAAGGGCCAUCGCUCAACGGAUAAAAGCUACCCUGGGGAUAACAGGCUUAUCUCCCCCAAGAGUCCACAUCGACGGGGAGGUUUGGCACCUCGAUGUCGGCUCAUCACAUCCUGGGGCUGUAGUAGGUCCCAAGGGUUGGGCUGUUCGCCCAUUAAAGUGGUACGCGAGCUGGGUUCAGAACGUCGUGAGACAGUUCGGUCCCUAUCCGUCGCAGGCGUAGGAAAUUUGAGAAGACCUGUCCUUAGUACGAGAGGACCGGGAUGGACGUACCUCUGGUGUACCAGUUGUCCUGCCAAGGGCAUGGCUGGGUAGCUAUGUACGGAAUGGAUAAGCGCUGAAAGCAUCUAAGCGCGAAGCCAACUUCAAGAUAAGAUUUCCCACCGCAAGGGUAAGACCCCAGAAAGACUAUCUGGUUGAUAGGUCGAAGGUGUAAGUGCAGCAAUGUAUUUAGCUUAUCGAUACUAAUAGGUCGAGGACUUGACCAAU
Molecule: ribosomal RNA, 960 nt
Filed under: Clostridioides difficile
Lineage: Bacteria; Bacillati; Bacillota; Clostridia; Peptostreptococcales; Peptostreptococcaceae
Description: bacterial LSU rRNA
Rfam family: Bacterial large subunit ribosomal RNA
Source: RNAcentral